Long non-coding RNA from Thalassophryne amazonica, 469 nucleotides. RefSeq lists it as uncharacterized. NCBI's taxonomy places the organism in Eukaryota, Metazoa, Chordata, Actinopteri, Batrachoidiformes, Batrachoididae. The transcript has 2 exons. The record is from RefSeq and is a predicted model, not a curated record.
UUGGUAAGAGUAACACUCAGUGUUAAUUUGGUAUGUCUGCUGCAUAAAUAUGGCCUCUUUACUGUGUGUACACAUGCAGAUCCCUCUGGUGAGAUUUUCCCAGUAAUAUUUUAAUUGUUAUUAGUUUUACGGUGUUAUUUUAGUUGAUGAUUGGCAAUUAUAUAAAUUUUAAUUUGCAUUUUUUUCUGCUCACUGUCAGUGAAAUAAAAGAAGGACUACAGGAGGUUUAAAGCAUGCCAUUACCUUUAUAAAAAGCUUGGCUGAAAAGUGUCCAAUUUUUGCAUUUUCAUUUGCUGACAUCCUUCUUAAAAUCUACAUACAUAUGGGCCAUUAUGAGUUGGCAAAUGUCUGAUGGUGAUAUUGCAUUAUACCAAAAAUAUACUCUCUGCCAACAACUGAUUGCCACCAAGAAAAGCAAAGUAGUCCAUGUGCAAAAUAAUUUUGAUAGAAUUGACUAUUUAAUGUUCAG